AGAAGAGGAAGGAGGACGGAGAAACGCCUCAAACCCAAACCGAAGCACCCUCAAUCUUAGGUCUCCUACUACAGCUAUUCAGAGUAUCAAGAGAAGUGGUCUGAGUGUGGAUCGUUCGUUUCCAGCAAGAAACGGGCAAGAACACGAGGGGAAGAGUCUUACAAGUUUUCAGAGAAGACGAGGCCAAAAAUAGCAUUGGGAAACAAAAUGGGACACGUGUCAAGCGUCCAUUGGAGAAGAAAAUCAAAAAAAUAUUUCGCGUGGAGCUGGAUCGAAGGCCGGUGGCCCGCUACCCGAGUCCACGACCCGAUGACUCGCGCUCAACCUGGAAUACCGACCCGGCUCCUCGUUGCCACGCGUCAGCGUAAAAGAAUUCAAAUUUCCAGCGCGUCUUCCCGGUUUCGAACCUACGACUCGUCCACGGCUGACCGUUCAUCGGGCGCCACGUGGCAAUACCUCAGCGCGCGUCUUCCCUCCUCAUGCGUGUCCGUACGCGCGCGUGUGAGCGCGUGCAUGCGCGUGAGUUGCUGUUUUCAGCCUAUUCGACCUCUAUUUGACCGAUUUUCGUUUCGAUUCCCGUGCUAAUCCUAUUUUACUGUGAACUAGGUCUCUGUAUAGAUAAUUCAUAAUUUUUGGAUUCUGUUACGACUGUAAUCAAGCUCGGGAAGGCACGCGACAUUCUGUACUAGUCGAGGUGGGGAGGUGUUCGAGAGCUGCAUUAUCACAGAGGGGUGUCGUUCCGGAGCGUCAGUCUAUUAGAGUCU
Molecule: long non-coding RNA, 764 nt
Organism: Cucurbita moschata (crookneck pumpkin)
Lineage: Eukaryota; Viridiplantae; Streptophyta; Magnoliopsida; Cucurbitales; Cucurbitaceae
Exons: 3
Source: RefSeq, a predicted model, not a curated record